RNAcentral lists this long non-coding RNA (242 nucleotides) under Elaeis guineensis (African oil palm). RNAcentral describes it as "long non-coding RNA (EGUI_LNC007112)". The record is from RNAcentral. Lineage: Eukaryota; Viridiplantae; Streptophyta; Magnoliopsida; Arecales; Arecaceae.
UUGGAGAAAUAGAAAGUAAUUGCCUGUUUAUAGGAUGUUUUGCUAUCAUCAAAUAAAAUUAUCAUAAUCAAGCAUCUAUAAAUACAAUAAAAGAAACCUACAAAGGUUCCAGAGCAUGAUCUGUCAUAUCCCUCUAUACCCCUGAUAUAGGAUGUACCGUUCCAUACAAGUACCACACCCGUAUGGCAUCUCGAGACUCAAUAUGCUGUCUCGUGCUGUAAUGAACCGUAUACCAACACCAU